UGCGGAAAGAAGCAACAGCCGCUGCCCCGGAGCCCAGAAAAGUGGACGCCGCGUCCCGGCCGCCCGCCUGCGCCGGGGAUGCGGCGGCGGCGGCGGCUAACGGUCCAGCGAGGCGGCAGGGGCGGCGGGAGCCGCUAGGCGGAGAGACCAGUGAUGGAUAGCUACUUUAAAUUUACAUGCCAGCGACGCAAAUGGCCGUAAGUGAUUUUUCGUCAUCCUAAAUGAGAGGAUGUUUUCUCAGUUGGAGCCCCUCGCCCGUGUGCCCGGAGGGAGUUGCAGGUGCGUGCGAGGAGCGAGCGGCCACCCACACGGCCCCGGCGCAGCUCGGGGGGGGGGGGGCAGGUGAGUGCGGCGGGGCUGACAGCCACCACCAGCUCCCUGCACCCCAGCGGCAUCCCUCCCGCCUCCCUGCUCGACAUGGUUUCCUCCAGUCUCUCCCCCAGCGGACACCCCGCUUCCCCAGCACCUUAUGGAGCGUCCCCUCUCUCUUACCUGCGC
Molecule: non-coding RNA, 498 nt
Organism: Kogia breviceps (pygmy sperm whale)
Lineage: Eukaryota; Metazoa; Chordata; Mammalia; Artiodactyla; Physeteridae
Source: RefSeq, a predicted model, not a curated record